AAGGUACCUGGUGAAUAAGCCACGGCUAACUACGUGCCAGCAGCCGCGGUAAUACGUAGGUGGCAAGCGUUGUCCGGAUUUAUUGGGUUUAAAGGGUGCGUAGGCGGUCCAUUAAGUCAGUGGUGAAAUACGGCAGCUUAACUGUCGAGGUGCCAUUGAUACUGGAGGACUUGAGUACAGACGAGGUAGGCGGAAUUGACGGUGUAGCGGUGAAAUGCUUAGAUAUCGUCAAGAACACCGAUAGCGAAGGCAGCUUACUAGACUGUAACUGACGCUGAGGCACGAAAGUGUGGGGAUCAAACAGGAUUAGAUACCCUGGUAGUCCACACUGUAAACGAUGAUUACUCGAUGUUGGCGAUACACAGCCAGCGUCUUAGCAAAAGCGAUAAGUAAUCCACCUGGGGAGUACGCCCGCAAGGGUGAAACUCAAAGGAAUUGACGAGGGUCCGCACAAGCGGUGGAGCAUGUGGUUUAAUUCGAUGAUACGCGAGGAACCUUACCUGGGCUAGAAUGCCCUUGACAGAUUCAGAGAUGGAUUUUUUUCGCAAGA
RNAcentral lists this ribosomal RNA (550 nucleotides) under uncultured bacterium. RNAcentral describes it as "bacterial SSU rRNA". It matches the Rfam family "Bacterial small subunit ribosomal RNA", at positions 472 to 1024 of the family's 1533-position model. The record is from RNAcentral.